GACGAACGCUGGCGGCGUGCCUAAUACAUGCAAGUAGAACGCUGAAGAGAGGAGCUUGCUCUUCUUGGCUGAGUUGCGAACGGGUGAGUAACGCGUAGGUAACCUGCCUGGUAGCGGGGGAUAACUAUUGGAAACGAUAGCUAAUACCGCAUAAAAUGGAUUAUCGCAUGAUAAUCCAUUGAAAGGUGCAAAUGCAUCACUACCAGAUGGACCUGCGUUGUAUUAGCUAGUUGGUGGGGUAACGGCUCACCAAGGCGACGAUACAUAGCCGACCUGAGAGGGUGAUCGGCCACACUGGGACUGAGACACGGCCCAGACUCCUACGGGAGGCAGCAGUAGGGAAUCUUCGGCAAUGGACGGAAGUCUGACCGAGCAACGCCGCGUGAGUGAAGAAGGUUGUCGGAUCGUAAAGCUCGGUUGUAAGAGAAGAACGAGUGUGAGAGUGGAAAGUUCACACUGUGACGGUAUCUUACCAGAAAGGGACGGCUAACUACGUG
RNAcentral lists this ribosomal RNA (497 nucleotides) under uncultured bacterium. Its description in RNAcentral is "partial 16S ribosomal RNA". It matches the Rfam family "Bacterial small subunit ribosomal RNA", at positions 28 to 507 of the family's 1533-position model. The record is from RNAcentral.